AAGAGUUAGGGUCUUCUAGGCCCGACCUCCCAACCCUGUGUUUAACAAACUAUUUGUUGCUUCGGCGAGCCCGUCUUUAUUGACCGCCGGAGGACCGUCGAGAGACGCCCUCUGGCCAGUGCCCGCCGAUGGCCAACUAUACCUAAACUCUGAAUAAACAUGUCUAUGUCUAAGUAAUUUAUUAAAUAAAAUA
Molecule: unclassified non-coding RNA, 193 nt
Filed under: uncultured Capronia
Lineage: Eukaryota; Fungi; Ascomycota; Eurotiomycetes; Chaetothyriales; Herpotrichiellaceae
Description: sequence contains ITS1
Source: RNAcentral